RNAcentral lists this ribosomal RNA (632 nucleotides) under uncultured bacterium. Its description in RNAcentral is "bacterial SSU rRNA". The stretch from base 1 to 540 matches the Rfam family "Bacterial small subunit ribosomal RNA", at positions 338 to 873 of the family's 1533-position model. The record is from RNAcentral.
CCUACGGGAGGCAGCAGUCGAGGAUCUUCGGCAAUGGACGAAAGUCUGACCGAGCAACGCCGCGUGUGCGAUGAAGGCCUUCGGGUUGUAAAGCACUGUCGAGGGGAAACAAGCCGUAAGGUUGAGUGACCCCUGGAGGAAGCACGGGCUAAGUUCGUGCCAGCAGCCGCGGUAAGACGAACCGUGCAAACGUUAUUCGGAAUCACUGGGCUUAAAGGGCGCGUAGGCGGGUAAUCAAGUCAAUGGUGAAAUCCUCCAGCUUAACUGGAGAAGUGCCUUUGAUACUGGUUGUCUAGAGGGAGGUAGGGGCAUGUGGAACUUCAGGUGGAGCGGUGAAAUGCGUAGAUAUCUGAAGGAACGCCAGUGGCGAAAGCGAUGUGCUGGACCUCUUCUGACGCUGAGGCGCGAAAGCUAGGGGAUCAAACGGGGAUUAGAUACCCCGGUAGUCCUAGCCCUAAACUAUGGGUACUAGAUUGUGGUACGUUACUAUAGGUUCGUACACGUACGAAGACGAAAGUAAGUUAACGUACCCGUACCGUCGGGUAGGUAGUGGUCGCGAGACGUGAACGUACGAAAGGAAAGUUAAGUACGGCGUUGAGACGUUGCCGAACGGACGACGACGAGGGAGGAGG